CUUCACGGCGCCAACUCUCAGAGCAUCAGAGGACGAUGCUCAGGGAUCUGGGCUCUGGCCGCCUUCUCCUCUGUGUGACCUCCAGCAAGUUCCUUCCCCUCUCUGCCCAUCAGCUUCUUCACUUAGACAAGGAGGUAGGUGCGCUCUAUUUAAAUAUCUUAGGGUAGGUUCCCACCCCAUGACAAGCAUCAAUGGGAAAGUGACUUAUUAGGAAGGAAAACCAGUAGAGGAAUGGGGGAGUGGGACCAGGAAGGAUGGAGGCCAUGCAAGGGUGCAGUGUCAGGCAAAGUCCCCUGAAGACUCCCACUUGGCUCCAUCCCACAGGGAACCCCAGGGACAGUGUAGGUCACACCCCAGAGUGCCUUGAUUGGGAGUGAGAGAGCUGGAACAUUUCCAUGCUGCACUGGCAAUCAGUGGGCAUCCUUGGAGGGGUGUAGAUUCCCAGGCACCUCCAGCUCGCUGUGCGCAUAGGCCAAGUGGACUCCCGCAGCCUGCAGGCAGCCCUCAGAAGCAGACGCAGAGGCUGCCUUUCCAGAGUGAGAAUGGAAAAGGGCUCUGAGGCAAUAUGGGUGGAGUUCUGACACGGUCUCUACUGGGACAUGUAAGAGGGCCCUUCCCACACAACACUCUACAAACCUUCUGGAAAUGUGGCUUUGAGUCCUGCCAAAGGACUUGACAGUUAUGCCAGCCUGUGCAAGUUACUGUAUCUCUUUAAAGCUCAACCUACUCAACUGUGACACCAGAGAUAGCGACAUCUCCUCUGCUGGCCUCCUUCCAGGUAGAGACGUCCCUGAUUAACUGCAGAGAGUUGCACAAAUGGCUGGUGUUGCUAUCAUGAUCCUUCUCCAUUAUACUUAAAGCAAUUUUAAGAGAUUCUGAGGCUUGCUCCUUAUAUUACUGCAUGGCUAUGGGCUGUAAUAACCCCCAAACUUUAGUGACUUAACACAAUAAGGGGAUAUAUCUUACUCACGUAGCAGUACAAAAUAGGUGUGUCUAGAUUGUGGUGGGGGACAAGGUGGAUGAGAUAUUGGCUCAACUCAGUUGAGUCUGGGUCAUUCCGGGACCCAGACUGACAGCAGCUCUGCCAUCUUCAUCAUGUAGUUCCCAAGGUCACCCUGGACGUUGACCUUGAGCUGACAGACAGGGGAAUAGAGACAGGAUCACACGUGGGAGGCUCCCAUGGAGCAUGCUGCCCCUGUUCCAUUGGCUAGAAGUCGGUCACUUGACCACAUCUACCUGCAAAGAAACAUGGUCUAGCUGUGUCCCCAGGAAGAGAAGGAAAAAGGUUUGGUGGUGAGCAUGUGGGCUCUGUCCCACUCCUGAAUUUGACAGCUGUCCUCUUGGAGAUGUGAACUCCUCUCUUCCUCUCUCAGUAGUUCCCACUCUGAGGUUUUUGUCUGUGCCUCAUCGCCUCUUCCUGUCCAGGCCCACUCUCUGUGGGUGCCACUGCUCUGCCCCCUCACAUCGCCCACACUCUGCUUAUAGGCCAAUUCCUGGAUUCCUGCUUCGUCUCCACCUGGAGGACACACCUUACUAUAGUAGGUCCUUUACGGGAGCAAUGAUGUGUAUUCGUAGUUUCAAAGCUACUCCGUAGCAGUAAGGCCCUCAACGCAGCAUUUAAACACAGAGAGCUCUUCUUUCCUCCCCUUUUACUCCUGCCACUUUGGGGUUGCUAUUGCCCACAGUGGAUAAUCGCCAUUUCAGAAAGAAGGUCUAUUCUCACCUGGCCGCUGCAGUUUCAGCACUUGGACACUUCCAAGGGAAGAGGGUGGCCAGAAACAGGACCUCAUUUCACCCUUAGCAUCCCACAGACUACGAAUAUUUCAUUUUAUCUAGAAGACAAGCCAGGCACCACCCGGAGGUCAGAGACUUGCCAGUGUGACCAGAUUUCAAAGGAGAAAGCCUGGGUCCAUGACCAAGAGUGGACAAGACCUGUGGCUACUCAGAUCAAGAGAGGGACUUUCAGAUCUCCUGCUUCAGGACAUUAGCUUGGCUACCUAAAGGGUGUGGAACUGAGCAAUGUCACAUUCUUCAGGAGCUUCUGUCCCAUCCCUUCCCCCUGCGUCUCUCAAAUCUAGAAGUAUCCAUGGUUAGACUCUUGCCCUGAGAGAUAGGGAACCAAGUUUCUAUUCGUCCUUUAAUCCUUCUUCCAGGGCUCAGAUUCUUUAGAAUCCAACAGCUUGGGCUGAUAAACAGCUACAACAGUGAUAGCUAAAAUCAUGCAGCUGACUGGGGACGAGUUUCUGUAAUUCUGUAGUCAACCUCUGAGGGUGCGUUCUCAGGGGCAGCCCGUUUCCCAGGCUUGGAGGUAAUUAUGGGCCCUGGAGACCACCUGUGACUGCUCCAGUCCACUUAUGUGGCCUAAGACCCAGAAUAAGUCAUGUCCCUCCGUAAGCCCUAGUUUCUUCGUCAGUAAAAUGUGGUGGCUGAACAAAAUUAUCCGUGAGGUCCCUUCCGGCUCUGACACCCUCCCAUUGGACGUCCGCCCGGGCCAACAGCUUGUCAUCCUUUGAAGAAUAAGCCUACGGUUGCAGAGGGCGCAGUUCCAUGGGACGCCAGGAGAGGGCAGCAGGCGGCGAACGGCAGGUGCUGCCGAAUUCCGGUGACGCGCGCCAGAUGCAAGGAAGGAUUUCCAGAGGAAGAAGAAGUUCCACAGUCCUUGCCUCCUGCAGAGCUACCCGGGUUCCUGGCCUCUUGGACAUGCCGGCCCCUGAAGGCCGCAUGCCCCUGGCUGCCAUCCAGCCUGCUCUGGUGCCUGCGCUGGCAAAGGGACAGAGUCAGCUCUGAGCCAAGGCCUUAGGAGGCAUUGAGUAUUUGCUCACGGUCCUGCACACCUGUGAUCUGGCCCAGAAAGAACGAGCAGCUCUGAAGAGAACAAGUGAGGGACAUGCAGAGCCUGAACCAACUCAGAGCCCGAAGCCAGGCCCAGAUGACCAGCACCUGGGGCAGAGCUGGCCCUGCUGGCCCACAGACCUGUGGUGGGAAGAAUAAAUGCUUGUCAUAAGUCACUGAAUUGGAAGGGUUUAUUGGGCAGGUUCUUGUGGCAAUACUCUCUCAGAGCAGCUUCUCCAGGAAGCAGACUCUGAGACAGAGAACUGUGUGCAG
Equus caballus (horse) is the source of this 3105-nucleotide long non-coding RNA. The record is from Ensembl. NCBI's taxonomy places the organism in Eukaryota, Metazoa, Chordata, Mammalia, Perissodactyla, Equidae.